Molecule: ribosomal RNA, 393 nt
Filed under: uncultured bacterium
Lineage: Bacteria
Description: partial 16S ribosomal RNA
Rfam family: Bacterial small subunit ribosomal RNA
Source: RNAcentral
AUACGGAGGAUCCGAGCGUUAUCCGGAUUUAUUGGGUUUAAAGGGUGCGCAGGCGGGAGAUUAAGUCGGCGGUGAACUUUUUCAGCUCAACUGUAAAAGUGCCUUCGAAACUGGUUUUCUUGAGUGUAGAUGAAGGAGGCGGAAUUUGUGGUGUAGCGGUGAAAUGCAUAGAUAUCAAGAGGAACUCCGAUUGCGCAGGCAGCUUACUAAACUACUACUGACGCUCAGGCACGAAGGCGUGGGGAUCAAACAGGAUUAGAUACCCUGGUAGUCCACGCAGUAAACGAUGAUUACUAGCUGUUUGCGAUACAAUGUAAGCGGCUGAGCGAAAGCGUUAAGUAAUCCACCUGGGGAGUACGUUCGCAAGAAUGAAACUCAAAUGAAUUUACGGGG